CUUUUUUAAGUUUGAAAUAGCACUGGAAUAUUUGAAUGUUACGACCAAAUUGGAAAUUUAUACGAAAGAAGUGCGAAGCGGUGGGACUAGAAGAACUGGAGGAAGAGGUGAAGAGAGUGCCUUAUAACGGUGAAAUAAAAA
Long non-coding RNA from Zophobas morio, 141 nucleotides. RefSeq lists it as uncharacterized. The transcript has 2 exons. The record is from RefSeq and is a predicted model, not a curated record. Lineage: Eukaryota; Metazoa; Arthropoda; Insecta; Coleoptera; Tenebrionidae.